RNAcentral lists this long non-coding RNA (266 nucleotides) under Elaeis guineensis (African oil palm). Its description in RNAcentral is "long non-coding RNA (EGUI_LNC030960)". The record is from RNAcentral. Lineage: Eukaryota; Viridiplantae; Streptophyta; Magnoliopsida; Arecales; Arecaceae.
GCCACCCCUUGGAUAGGCUCCGAAAUGGCUGGGGGAGCUACCCUUAGGGGCAAUGCAAUGACAACCCCUUAUGUGUCAUCGAUAUCGACCAAGUCCAUGCUAGAAGUCCUAGUUGAUCUACUGGGGGUAGGUGGAGUUGGUGGUGGUGAAGUGAUGGAAGCUACCAGCUUCAUCUUCUUCCUCGAUGAACCCUCUCCAAAAUCAGAACUUGGUCUCUUCUUCAGGAGAGUCGACUUUAUCGAUCCGAAGUUGGGCCUCAUCACUGC